UAGCCUCUGGAGAUUCAAAUUCUUGGGAC
Molecule: non-coding RNA, 29 nt
Filed under: Rattus norvegicus (Norway rat)
Lineage: Eukaryota; Metazoa; Chordata; Mammalia; Rodentia; Muridae
Source: RNAcentral